RNAcentral lists this long non-coding RNA (297 nucleotides) under Trifolium pratense (red clover). RNAcentral's name for it is "long non-coding RNA (TPRA_LNC011299)". Lineage: Eukaryota; Viridiplantae; Streptophyta; Magnoliopsida; Fabales; Fabaceae. The record is from RNAcentral.
AAGCACAGCCCUUAAGAUCGCCUUUCAAAACAAUGGAAGCGUUUUGAGUCAUUGCUGUGCAAAAUUAAAAUUUCUAUAAGGUUUCAUAUUAGGGUUUUCCUAUUAUGGUUUCUUUUCACCACUUGUUUUUUUAUUUAUUUAUGAGGCAUAGACCCUUUUAUCAUUGAAUCUGAUUUUUUAUCAUGUUAAAGUCUUUGGUUAAUUGCUUCUUGUAAGUAUUGACCUAUUGAUUUAUCUGAUUCAAAGUUCAUUUUCAUUGGUGAUUUUUUUAAUAAUGUCUCAUCAACCAAGUGGUAA